UGGGGAAUAUUGCACAAUGGGCGCAAGCCUGAUGCAGCCAUGCCGCGUGUAUGAAGAAGGCCUUCGGGUUGUAAAGUACUUUCAGCGAGGAAGAAGGCGUUGUGGUUAAUAACCGCAACGAUUGACGUUACUCGCAGAAGAAGCACCGGCUAACUCCGUGCCAGCAGCCGCGGUAAUACGGAGGGUGCAAGCGUUAAUCGGAAUUACUGGGCGUAAAGCGCACGCAGGCGGUCUGUCAAGUCGGAUGUGAAAUCCCCGGGCUCAACCUGGGAACUGCAUCCGAAACUGGCAGGCUAGAGUCUUGUAGAGGGGGGUAGAAUUCCAGGUGUAGCGGUGAAAUGCGUAGAGAUCUGGAGGAAUACCGGUGGCGAAGGCGGCCCCCUGGACAAAGACUGACGCUCAGGUGCGAAAGCGUGGGGAGCAAACA
Molecule: ribosomal RNA, 427 nt
Filed under: uncultured bacterium
Lineage: Bacteria
Description: partial 16S ribosomal RNA
Rfam family: Bacterial small subunit ribosomal RNA
Source: RNAcentral